This 358-nucleotide unclassified non-coding RNA is filed under the name soil metagenome. RNAcentral describes it as "partial contains 5.8S ribosomal RNA, internal transcribed spacer 2, and large subunit ribosomal RNA". The stretch from base 1 to 120 matches the Rfam family "5.8S ribosomal RNA", at positions 35 to 154 of the family's 154-position model. The record is from RNAcentral.
GAUGAAGAACGCAGCGAAAUGCGAUAAGUAAUGUGAAUUGCAGAAUUCAGUGAAUCAUCGAAUCUUUGAACGCACAUUGCGCCCGUCAGUAUUCUGGCGGGCAUGCCUGUUCGAGCGUCAUUACGCCCCUCAAGUCCCCUGUGGACUUGGUGUUGGGGAUCGGCGAGGCUGGUUUUCCAGCACAGCCGUCCCUUAAAUUAAUUGGCGGUCUCGCCGUGGCCCUCCUCUGCGCAGUAGUAAAACACUCGCAACAGGAGCCCGGCGCGGUCCACUGCCGUAAAACCCCCCAACUUUUUAUAGUUGACCUCGAAUCAGGUAGGACUACCCGCUGAACUUAAGCCUAUCAAUAAGCGGAGGA